AGCAGCCGCGGUAAUUCCAGCUCCAAUAGCGUAUAUUAAAGUUGUUGCAGUUGAAAAGCUCGUAGUUGAAUUUCGGGAUCAGUUGGUCGGUCGUGCCUCGGUACGUACUGGUCAAAUUGAUUCCUACCUUCUGACGAACCACGAUGUCAUUAAUUUGGUGUCGCGGGAAAUCAGGACUGUUACUUUGAAAAAAUUAGAGUGUUUAAAGCAGGCUCGCGCUUGAAUACAUUAGCAUGGAAUAAUGAAAUAGGACGUUUGAUUCUAUUUUGUUGGUUUCUAGGAUCGACGUAAUGAUUAAUAGGGAUAGUUGGGGGCAUUAGUAUUCAAUUGUCAGAGGUGAAAUUCUUGGAUUUAUUGAAGACUAACUACUGCGAAAGCAUUUGCCAAGGAUGUUUUCAUUAAUCAAGAACGGAAGUUAGGGGAUCGAAGACGAUCAGAUACCGUCGUAGUCUUAACCAUAAACUAUGCCGACUAGGGAUCGGAUGAUGUUAAUUUUUUAAUGACUCAUUCGGCGCCUUAC
RNAcentral lists this unclassified non-coding RNA (520 nucleotides) under uncultured Glomus. RNAcentral's name for it is "SSU rRNA". It matches the Rfam family "Eukaryotic small subunit ribosomal RNA", at positions 569 to 1091 of the family's 1831-position model. The record is from RNAcentral. Lineage: Eukaryota; Fungi; Glomeromycota; Glomeromycetes; Glomerales; Glomeraceae.